CUGGCGGCAGGCCUAAUACAUGCAAGUCGAGCGCGCCCUUCGGGGUGAGCGGCGGACGGGUGAGUAACGCGUGGGAAUAUGCCCUUCUCUAAGGAAUAGCCUCUGGAAACGAAGAGUAAUACCUUAUACGCCCUUCGGGGGAAAGAUUUAUCGGUAUCGGAUUAGCCCGCGUAAGAUUAGAUAGUUGGUGGGGUAAUGGCCUACCAAGUCUACGAUCUUUAGCUGGUUUUAGAGGAUGAUCAGCAACACUGGGACUGAGACACGGCCCAGACUCCUACGGGAGGCAGCAGUGGGGAAUCUUAGACAAUGGGCGCAAGCCUGAUCUAGCCAUGCCGCGUGAGUGAAGAAGGCCUUAGGGUCGUAAAACUCUUUCGCCAGAGAUGAUAAUGACAGUAUCUGGUAAAGAAACCCCGGCUAACUCCGUGCCAGCAGCCGCGGUAAUACGGAGGGGGUUAGCGUUGUUCGGAAUUACUGGGCGUAAAGCGCACGUAGGCGGAUUAGUAAGUUAGAGGUGAAAUCCCAGGGCUCAACCCUGGAACUGCCUUUAAUACUGCUAGUCUUGAGUUCGAGAGAGGUAAGUGGAAUUCCGAGUGUAGAGGUGAAAUUCGUAGAUAUUCGGAGGAACACCAGUGGCGAAGGCGGCUUACUGGCUCGAUACUGACGCUGAGGUGCGAAAGUGUGGGGAGCAAACAGGAUUAGAUACCCUGGUAGUCCACACCGUAAACGAUGAAUGCCAGACGUCAGCAAGUAUACUUGUUGGUGUCACACCUAACGGAUUAAGCAUUCCGCCUG
This 792-nucleotide ribosomal RNA is filed under the name uncultured marine bacterium. RNAcentral describes it as "bacterial SSU rRNA". It matches the Rfam family "Bacterial small subunit ribosomal RNA", at positions 36 to 875 of the family's 1533-position model. The record is from RNAcentral.